GACGAACGCUGGCGGCGUGCUUAACACAUGCAAGUCGAACGGAAAGGCCCUGCUUUUGUGGGGUGCUCGAGUGGCGAACGGGUGAGUAACACGUGAGUAACCUGCCCUUGACUUUGGGAUAACUUCAGGAAACUGGGGCUAAUACCGGAUAGCAUCUCCUCCUCCAUGGGGGGGGUUGGAACGUUUGGGCGGUUGGGGAUGGACUCGCGGGUUAUCAGCUAGUUGGUUGGGUAGUGGCAUACCAAGGCUUUGACGGGUAGCCGGCCUGAGAGGGUGACCGGCCACAUUGGGACUGAGAUACGGCCCAGACUCCUACGGGAGGCAGCAGUGGGGAAUAUUGCACAAUGGGCGGAAGCCUGAUGCAGCAACGCCGCGUGCGGGAUGACGGCCUGCGGGUUGUAAACCGCUUUCGCUUGUGACGAAGCGUUAGUGACGGUAAUGGGUAAAGAAGCACCGGCUAACUACGUG
Molecule: ribosomal RNA, 468 nt
Filed under: uncultured bacterium
Lineage: Bacteria
Description: partial 16S ribosomal RNA
Rfam family: Bacterial small subunit ribosomal RNA
Source: RNAcentral